GCGGGACUACCCGCUGAGUUUUAAGCAUA
Molecule: ribosomal RNA, 29 nt
Filed under: Luxemburgia macedoi subsp. macedoi
Lineage: Eukaryota; Viridiplantae; Streptophyta; Magnoliopsida; Malpighiales; Ochnaceae
Description: partial 26S ribosomal RNA
Source: RNAcentral